UGGGGAAUCUUGCACAAUGGGCGAAAGCCUGAUGCAGCCAUGCCGCGUGAAUGAUGAAGGCCUUAUGGUUGUAAAAUUCUUUCGCUAGGGACGAUAAUGACGGUACCUAGUAAAGAAGCCCGGCUAGCUUACUGUGCCAGCAGCCGCGGUAAUACGAAGGGGCGUAGCGUUGUUCGGAAUUACUGGGCGUAAAGCGCGCGUAGGCGGACUAUCAAGUUGGAUGUGAAAUCCCAGGGCUCAACUCUGGAACUGCAUUCAAAACUGGUAGUCUAGAGGCCAGGAGAGGUCAGUGGAAUACCGAGUGUAGAGGUGAAAUUCGUAGAUAUUCGGUGGAACACCAGUGGCGAAGGCGACUGACUUGGACUGGUACUGACGCUGAGGUGCUAAAGUGUGGGAGCAAAC
RNAcentral lists this ribosomal RNA (402 nucleotides) under uncultured Ponticaulis sp. RNAcentral describes it as "bacterial SSU rRNA". It matches the Rfam family "Bacterial small subunit ribosomal RNA", at positions 355 to 773 of the family's 1533-position model. The record is from RNAcentral. Lineage: Bacteria; Pseudomonadati; Pseudomonadota; Alphaproteobacteria; Hyphomonadales; Hyphomonadaceae.